This 773-nucleotide ribosomal RNA is filed under the name uncultured cyanobacterium. RNAcentral describes it as "bacterial SSU rRNA". It matches the Rfam family "Bacterial small subunit ribosomal RNA", at positions 51 to 866 of the family's 1533-position model. The record is from RNAcentral. Lineage: Bacteria; Bacillati; Cyanobacteriota.
ACACAUGCAAGUCGAACGGGAAUCUUCGGAUUCUAGUGGCGGACGGGUGAGUAACGCGUAAGAAUCUAACUUCAGGACGGGGACAACAGUUGGAAACGACUGCUAAUACCCGAUGUGCCGCAAGGUGAAAACUAAUUGGCCUGAAGAAGAGCUUGCGUCUGAUUAGCUAGUUGGUGGGGUAAGAGCCUACCAAGGCGACGAUCAGUAGCUGGUCUGAGAGGAUGAGCAGCCACACUGGGACUGAGACACGGCCCAGACUCCUACGGGAGGCAGCAGUGGGGAAUUUUCCGCAAUGGGCGAAAGCCUGACGGAGCAACGCCGCGUGAGGGAGGAAGGUCUUUGGAUUGUAAACCUCUUUUCUCAAGGAAGAAGUUCUGACGGUACUUGAGGAAUCAGCCUCGGCUAACUCCGUGCCAGCAGCCGCGGUAAUACGGGGGAGGCAAGCGUUAUCCGGAAUUAUUGGGCGUAAAGCGUCCGCAGGUGGUCAGCCAAGUCUGCCGUCAAAUCAGGUUGCUUAACGACCUAAAGGCGGUGGAAACUGGCAGACUAGAGAGCAGUAGGGGUAGCAGGAAUUCCCAGUGUAGCGGUGAAAUGCGUAGAGAUUGGGAAGAACAUCGGUGGCGAAAGCGUGCUACUGGGCUGUAUCUGACACUCAGGGACGAAAGCUAGGGGAGCGAAAGGGAUUAGAUACCCCUGUAGUCCUAGCCGUAAACGAUGGAUACUAGGCGUGGCUUGUAUCGACCCGAGCCGUGCCGAAGCUAACGCGUUAAGUA